AAUAGAUACCCAGGUAGUCCAUGCCGUAAACGUUGGGAACUAGAUGUAGGGCCUGUUCCACGGGUUCUGUGUCGCAGCUAACGCAUUAAGUUCCCCGCCUGGGGAGUACGGCCGCAAGGCUAAAACUCAAAGGAAUUGACGGGGGCCCGCACAAGCGGCGGAGCAUGCGGAUUAAUUCGAUGCAACGCGAAGAACCUUACCAAGGCUUGACAUACACCAGAAUGGGCCAGAAAUGGUCAACUCUUUGGACACUGGUGUACAGGUGGUGCAUGGUUGUCGUCAGCUCGUGUCGUGAGAUGUUCGGUUAAGUCCGGCAACGAGCGCAACCCUCGUCCUAUGUUGCCAGCACGUUAUGGUGGGAACUCAUGGGAUACUGCCGUGGUCAACACGGAGGAAGGUGGGGAUGACGUCAAAUCAUCAUGCCCCUUAUGUCUUGGGCUUCACGCAUGCUACAAUGGCCGGUACAAUGGGCGGCGAUACCGUGAGGUGGAGCGAAUCCCAAAAAGCCGGUCUCAGUUCGGAUUGGUGU
This 529-nucleotide ribosomal RNA is filed under the name uncultured bacterium. RNAcentral's name for it is "bacterial SSU rRNA". It matches the Rfam family "Bacterial small subunit ribosomal RNA", at positions 777 to 1304 of the family's 1533-position model. The record is from RNAcentral.